GGGCUGCAGUAAGGAAUAUUGGGCAAUGGACGCAAGUCUGACCCAGCCAUGCCGCGUGCAGGAUGACUGCCCUACGGGUUGUAAACUGCUUUUGUACGGGAAGAAUCCCCCCGACGUGUCGGGGAUUGACGGUACCGUGCGAAUAAGCAUCGGCUAACUCCGUGCCAGCAGCCGCGGUAAUACGGAGGAUGCAAGCGUUAUCCGGAUUCAUUGGGUUUAAAGGGUGCGCAGGCGGAAUGGUAAGUCAGUGGUGAAAUCCCCCGGCUCAACCGGGGAACUGCCAUUGAUACUGCUAUUCUUGAGUACACUUGAGGUAGGCGGAAUGUAUCAUGUAGCGGUGAAAUGCUUAGAUAUGAUACAGAACACCAAUAGCGAAGGCAGCUUACCAAAGUGAAACUGACGCUCAUGCACGAAAGCGUGGGGAGCAAACAGGAUUAGAUACCCGUGUAGUC
RNAcentral lists this ribosomal RNA (452 nucleotides) under uncultured microorganism. RNAcentral describes it as "bacterial SSU rRNA". It matches the Rfam family "Bacterial small subunit ribosomal RNA", at positions 346 to 795 of the family's 1533-position model. The record is from RNAcentral.